GGAGCAAACAGGAUUAGAUACCCUGGUAGUCCACGCCGUAAACGAUGUCGACUUGGAGGUUGUGCCCUUGAGGCGUGGCUUCCGGAGCUAACGCGUUAAGUCGACCGCCUGGGGAGUACGGCCGCAAGGUUAAAACUCAAAUGAAUUGACGGGGGCCCGCACAAGCGGUGGAGCAUGUGGUUUAAUUCGAUGCAACGCGAAGAACCUUACCUGGCCUUGACAUCCAGAGAACUUAGCAGAGAUGCUUUGGUGCCUUCGGGAACUCUGAGACAGGUGCUGCAUGGCUGUCGUCAGCUCGUGUUGUGAAAUGUUGGGUUAAGUCCCGCAACGAGCGCAACCCUUAUCCUUUGUUGCCAGCGGUUCGGCCGGGAACUCAAAGGAGACUGCCGGUGAUAAACCGGAGGAAGGUGGGGAUGACGUCAAGUCAUCAUGGCCCUUACGGCCAGGGCUACACACGUGCUACAAUGGCGCAUACAAAGAGAAGCGACCUCGCGAGAGCAAGCGGACCUCAUAAAGUGCGUCGUAGUCCGGAUUGGAGUCUGCAACUCGACUCCAUGAAGUCGGAAUCGCUAGUAAUCGUAGAUCAGAAUGCUACGGUGAAUACGUUCCCGGGCCUUGUACACACCGCCCGUCACACCAUGGGAGUGGGUUGCAAAAGAAGUAGGUAGCUUAACCUUCGGGAGG
Molecule: ribosomal RNA, 684 nt
Filed under: Pantoea sp.
Lineage: Bacteria; Pseudomonadati; Pseudomonadota; Gammaproteobacteria; Enterobacterales; Erwiniaceae
Description: bacterial SSU rRNA
Rfam family: Bacterial small subunit ribosomal RNA
Source: RNAcentral